GGAGAUGGCUCAGGGGUUAAGAGCCCUGGUUGCUCUUCUAGGGACCCUAGGUUCAAUUCCUAGCAUCCCCA
RNAcentral lists this transfer RNA (71 nucleotides) under Rattus norvegicus (Norway rat). It matches the Rfam family "tRNA". From Rfam's summary of the family: Transfer RNA (tRNA) molecules are approximately 80 nucleotides in length. Their secondary structure includes four short double-helical elements and three loops (D, anti-codon, and T loops). Further hydrogen bonds mediate the characteristic L-shaped molecular structure. tRNAs have two regions of fundamental functional importance: the anti-codon, which is responsible for specific mRNA codon recognition, and the 3' end, to which the tRNAs corresponding amino acid is attached (by aminoacyl-tRNA synthetases). tRNAs cope with the degeneracy of the genetic code in two manners: having more than one tRNA (with a specific anti-codon) for a particular amino acid; and 'wobble' base-pairing, i.e. permitting non-standard base-pairing at the 3rd anti-codon position. Lineage: Eukaryota; Metazoa; Chordata; Mammalia; Rodentia; Muridae. The record is from Rfam by way of RNAcentral.